RNAcentral lists this ribosomal RNA (500 nucleotides) under uncultured bacterium. RNAcentral's name for it is "partial 16S ribosomal RNA". It matches the Rfam family "Bacterial small subunit ribosomal RNA", at positions 30 to 523 of the family's 1533-position model. The record is from RNAcentral.
AUUGAACGCUGGCGGCAUGCUUUACACAUGCAAGUCGAACGGUAACAGGGUGCUUGCACCGCUGACGAGUGGCGAACGGGUGAGUAAUGCGUCGGAACGUGCCGAGUAGUGGGGGAUAACGCAGCGAAAGUUGUGCUAAUACCGCAUACGUACUGAGGUAGAAAGUGGGGGACCUUCGGGCCUCACGCUAUUCGAGCGGCCGACGUCUGAUUAGCUAGUAGGUGAGGUAAAGGCUCACCUAGGCGACGAUCAGUAGCGGGGCUGAGAGGAUGGUCCGCCAAACUGGGACUGGGACCAGGCCCAGGCUCCUACGGGAGGCAGCAGUGGGGAAUGUUGGACAAUGGGCGAAAGCCUGAUCCAGCCAUGCCGCGUGUCUGAAGAAGGCCUUCGGGUUGUAAAGGACUUUUGUCAGGGAGGAAAUCCCUAGUGCUAAUAACACUGGGGGAUGACAGUACCUGAAGAAUAAGCACCGGCUAACUACGUGCCAGCCGCCGCGGUAA